GAUGAACGCUGGCGGCGUGCCUAAUACAUGCAAGUCGAGCGAACAGACGAGGGGCUUGCUCCUCUGACGUUAGCGGCGGACGGGUGAGUAACACGUGGAUAACCUACCUAUAAGACUGGGAUAACUUCGGGAAACCGGGGCUAAUACCGGAUAAUAUAUUGAUCCGCAUGGUUCAAUAGUGAAAGACGGUUUUGCUGUCACUUAUAGAUGGAUCCGCGCCGCAUUAGCUAGUUGGUAAGGUAACGGCUUACCAAGGCGACGAUGCGUAGCCGACCUGAGAGGGUGAUCGGCCACACUGGAACUGAGACACGGUCCAGACUCCUACGGGAGGCAGCAGUAGGGAAUCUUCCGCAAUGGGCGAAAGCCUGACGGAGCAACGCCGCGUGAGUGAUGAAGGUCUUCGGAUCGUAAAACUCUGUUAUUAGGGAAGAACAAAUGUGUAAGUAACUAUGCACGUCUUGACGGUACCUAAUCAGAAAGCCACGGCUAACUACGUG
Molecule: ribosomal RNA, 497 nt
Filed under: uncultured bacterium
Lineage: Bacteria
Description: partial 16S ribosomal RNA
Rfam family: Bacterial small subunit ribosomal RNA
Source: RNAcentral